GUCAGCGGGCUCACAUGGCCGUUGCAGGAGACACUGGGACGUCCAAAGGCAAAGAUGUAGAUGAUGUUGCCUAUGGAGACUUUGCUCACUGGGCCUCCACUGAUGAAGGUAAUCCGGAAAGAGCAUCUCUUGCUACUAAUGAGAGUGCUCCAGAGUGGGUUCUUGACUCUGGAGCAUCUAAGCAUGUUGCUAGUAACUCAUGUGUGUUCGAAUCUUACACUAAGCAUCCUCCCUCUCACACGGGCACUAUACAAACGGCUGAUGGCACAAAACAACCAGUCAUCGGGGUUGGUACAGUAAAGUGUACUCCGACCAUUUCCCUAUCGUCAGUUUUACAUGUGCCAGCCUUUCCUGUCAAUUUGGUCUCUUUCAGUGCACUCAUUGAUCAAAUGGACUGUCGUGUGAUCCUUGACAAGUUCGGUUGCUUGAUUCAGGAGCGACAGACGAGCCAGACGGUUGGGACUGGCACCAGGCGUAGGGGGCUCUGGUACAUGGACCAGGAGGUGCAGCCGGACUUGGUGUGUGCUGCGACCAUGGAGGAUAAGGAGAAGCAGGCGAUGAUCCAUCAUUGUAGGAUGGGGCAUGUAUCUUUUGAUAAGAUGAGUAGAAUAUUUCCGGAUGUUAUGUGUGGCAUAGGCAAAGGCAAGCUGACAUGCGAUGCUUGUGAAUAUGCAAAACACACACGGGCCUCAUAUGUGAGUAAGGGGCUCAGGAGCAUAUCUCCUUUUAUGCUUAUUCAUUCGGAUGUAUGGACUAGCCCAGUGGUGUCAAUGAAUGGGAAGAAGUAUUUUGCUACCUUUAUUGACUGCUAUUCUCGCAUGACUUGGAUU
RNAcentral lists this ribosomal RNA (830 nucleotides) under Triticum aestivum (bread wheat). Its description in RNAcentral is "partial small subunit ribosomal RNA". Lineage: Eukaryota; Viridiplantae; Streptophyta; Magnoliopsida; Poales; Poaceae. The record is from RNAcentral.